This 253-nucleotide ribosomal RNA is filed under the name uncultured bacterium. RNAcentral describes it as "partial 16S ribosomal RNA". It matches the Rfam family "Bacterial small subunit ribosomal RNA", at positions 524 to 776 of the family's 1533-position model. The record is from RNAcentral.
UACGGGGGGGGCAAGCGUUGUUCGGAAUUACUGGGCGUAAAGGGCUCGUAGGCGGCCAACUAAGUCAGACGUGAAAUCCCCAGGCUCAACCUGGGAACUGCGUCUGAUACUGGAUGGCUUGAAUCCGGGAGAGGGAUGCAGAAUUCCAGGUGUAGCGGUGAAAUGCGUAGAUAUCUGGAGGAAAACCGGUGGCGAAGGCGGCAUCCUGGACCGGCAUUGACGCUGAGGAGCGAAAGCCAGGGGAGCAAACGGG